RNAcentral lists this ribosomal RNA (468 nucleotides) under uncultured bacterium. Its description in RNAcentral is "partial 16S ribosomal RNA". It matches the Rfam family "Bacterial small subunit ribosomal RNA", at positions 28 to 507 of the family's 1533-position model. The record is from RNAcentral.
GACGAACGCUGGCGGCGUGCUUAACACAUGCAAGUCGAACGGAAAGGCCCUGCUUUUGUGGGGUGCUCGAGUGGCGAACGGGUGAGUAACACGUGAGUAACCUGCCCUUGACUUUGGGAUAACUUCAGGAAACUGGGGCUAAUACCGUAUAGGAGCUCCUGCUGCAUGGUGGGGGUUGGAAAUUUUAGGCGGUUGGGGCUGGACUCGCGGCUUAUCAGCUUGUUGGUGGGGUAGUGGCUUACCAAGGCUUUGACGGGUAGCCGGCCUGAGAGGGUGACCGGCGACAAUGGGACUGAGAUACGGAGCAGACUGCUACGGGAGGCAGCAGGGGCGAAUAUUGCACAAUGGGCGGAAGCCUGAUGCAGAAACGCCGCGUGCGGGAUGACGGCCUUCGGGUUGUAAACAGCUUUCGCCUGUGACGACGCGUGAGUGACGGUAAUGGGUAAAGAAGCACCGGCUAACUACGUG